Molecule: ribosomal RNA, 392 nt
Filed under: uncultured bacterium
Lineage: Bacteria
Description: partial 16S ribosomal RNA
Rfam family: Bacterial small subunit ribosomal RNA
Source: RNAcentral
AUACGGAGGAUCCGAGCGUUAUCCGGAUUUAUUGGGUUUAAAGGGUGCGCAGGCGGCCAUUUAAGUCAGCGGUUAAAUCGUGGGGCUCAACCCCAUUCUGCCGUUGAUACUGGUAGGCUUGAUUGCGGUCGAGGUUGGCGGAAUUAGUUGUGUAGCGGUGAAAUGCAUAGAUAUGACGAAGAACACCGAUUGCGUAGGCAGCUGACCAGACCGCAAAUGACGCUCAUGCACGAAAGUGCGGGGAUCGAACAGGAUUAGAUACCCUGGUAGUCCGCACAGUAAACGAUGAAUACUUGUUUUCGGCGAUAUAAUGUCGGAGGCAAAGCGAAAGCGAUAAGUAUUCCACCUGGGGAGUACGCCGGCAACGGUGAAACUCAAAUGAAUUGGCGGGG